RNAcentral lists this ribosomal RNA (429 nucleotides) under Bacillota bacterium. Its description in RNAcentral is "Firmicutes bacterium partial 16S ribosomal RNA". It matches the Rfam family "Bacterial small subunit ribosomal RNA", at positions 355 to 776 of the family's 1533-position model. Lineage: Bacteria; Bacillati; Bacillota. The record is from RNAcentral.
UGGGGAAUUUUGCGCAAUGGGCGAAAGCCUGACGCAGCAACGCCGCGUGGGUGAUGAAGGUCUUCGGAUCGUAAAACCCUGUCGUCGGGGACGAAGGUGGAGGGGUUAAUAGCCUCUUUGCUUGACGGUACCCGGAGAGGAAGCCCCGGCUAACUCUGUGCCAGCAGCCGCGGUAAUACAGAGGGGGCAAGCGUUAUUCGGAAUUAUUGGGCGUAAAGGGCGCGUAGGCGGCUUUUUAAGUGAGAUGUGUAAUCCCUGAGCUCAACUUGGGAACUGCAUCUCAUACUGGGAGGCUAGAGUACUGGAGAGAGUGGUAGAAUUCCACGUGUAGCGGUGAAAUGCGUAGAGAUGUGGAGGAAUACCAGUGGCGAAGGCGGCCACCUGGACAGUAACUGACGCUGAGGCGCGAAAGUGUGGGUAGCAAACAGG